CCUUCCAUAGCCAAGGCCUCACAGGAAGCACUGACGGUCAGAGGACGCUUUGACAAUUGAAGACAUAUAGGUCCAGAGCUAGAAGGAGAGGGAUAUCCUAUUUGAAAGGAGGUCUCACCCAAAGUCUCUACUGCUUUGUAGAUGUACCACAUCUGGCAUGCAGUUAAAAUGGUCUAGGUACACCAACAGUCAGACUCACAUGAUCAAGAAACCAAAAGAGAAGAGUGGAAACAGCAGAAAUUGUGAGGACAGUGACCGACAUUGCAUGCCAGAGAAUAAAGGGUAUGCAGUCGAACCCAUUGCUGGCUCUUCCAGGAGGCUUCCUACCACCACCACCACCAUCGCUGCUCCCUCAUAAGCAACGGUCUCAUCCCUGGCUAAUCUAGACAGUUUGCCUGGAUGUCUUGCUGAACUCACAAAGCACAGAGAUUGUAAAACCACAACACAUUCAAGUUCGAGACCAGCCACUUGUUAAUUGUGGGACCCCGGAAGAGUUACUUGUCUUAUUUGUACCUGGCUCUGUUUCCCUGCCUAUAAAGUGGAGUUGUUAAGGUGAUUAAUUGGGAGGUAAUUACCGACCCAAUGGCAGCAUCUUGAGCUCUUAUGUAAGCCUGUGCAACUUGAAGUUUAACUAACUUUGCCAGG
RNAcentral lists this long non-coding RNA (645 nucleotides) under Mus musculus (house mouse). RNAcentral's name for it is "predicted gene, 48823". The record is from RNAcentral. Lineage: Eukaryota; Metazoa; Chordata; Mammalia; Rodentia; Muridae.